GCCAGGCAUGGUGGCGCACACCUGUAAUCCCAGCAGCUUGGGAGGCUGAGGCAGGAGUAUCUCAAGUUCAAAGCCAGCCUCAGCAAAAGCAAGAAGCUAAGCAACUCAGCGAGACCCUGUCUCUC
Molecule: small RNA, 125 nt
Filed under: Marmota monax (woodchuck)
Lineage: Eukaryota; Metazoa; Chordata; Mammalia; Rodentia; Sciuridae
Source: RNAcentral